UACGUAGGGGGCUAGCGUUGUCCGGAAUCAUUGGGCGUAAAGCGCGUGUAGGCGGUCGUGCAAGUCGGGGGUGAAAGCCCAGGGCUCAACCCUGGAAGUGCAUUCGAUACUGCAUGGCUAGAGUCCCGGAGAGGAUGGUGGAACUCUCGGUGUAGAGGUGAAAUUCGUAGAUAUCGAGAAGAACACCGGUGGCGAAGGCGGCCAUCUGGACGGUGACUGACGCUGAGACGCGAAAGCGUGGGGAGCAAACAGG
RNAcentral lists this ribosomal RNA (253 nucleotides) under uncultured bacterium. RNAcentral's name for it is "partial 16S ribosomal RNA". It matches the Rfam family "Bacterial small subunit ribosomal RNA", at positions 524 to 776 of the family's 1533-position model. The record is from RNAcentral.